GACGAACGCUGGCGGCGUGCUUAACACAUGCAAGUCGAACGGAAAGGCCCCUUUGGGGGUACUCGAGUGGCGAACGGGUGAGUAACACGUGAGUAACCUGCCCUUGACCUCGGGAUAACUUCAGGAAACUGGGGCUAAUACCGGAUAGGAAUCCUUGCUGCAUGGUGGGGGUUGGAAAGCUUCGGCGGUUUUGGAUGGACUCGCGGCUUAUCAGCUUGUUGGUGGGGUAGUGGCUUACCAAGGCUUUGACGGGUAGCCGGCCUGAGAGGGCGACCGGCCACAUUGGGACUGAGAUACGGCCCAGACUCCUACGGGAGGCAGCAGUGGGGAAUAUUGCACAAUGGGCGGAAGCCUGAUGCAGCAACGCCGCGUGCGGGAUGACGGCCUUCGGGUUGUAAACCGCUUUCAGCAGGGGCGAAGCUUUUGUGACGGUACCUGCAGAAGAAGCACCGGCUAACUACGUG
This 464-nucleotide ribosomal RNA is filed under the name uncultured bacterium. Its description in RNAcentral is "partial 16S ribosomal RNA". It matches the Rfam family "Bacterial small subunit ribosomal RNA", at positions 28 to 507 of the family's 1533-position model. The record is from RNAcentral.